RNAcentral lists this long non-coding RNA (1278 nucleotides) under Homo sapiens (human). RNAcentral's name for it is "non-protein coding NNT-AS1:13". The record is from RNAcentral. Lineage: Eukaryota; Metazoa; Chordata; Mammalia; Primates; Hominidae.
AGCUUUCUUCCCGCCAGGCCCCCUCCACCCGAUCGCCGCGCGCUCUCCGAACCAAAAGGCGACCUCACGAAAUGCCCCUUUGAGCUCAAAGGCUAGUUACCCCCAGGGGCCCUUCCACUCUCGGGGACAGGCGAAACCUCUUUGUCUCUGCCUCGGCCUGCGGCCCCCAGCCCAGCCUCCGCGCUUUCCCUCCGCCAGUCCUUGUCAAUCAAACCUGGUGCCAAACGCGGCAGCUGAAGUUUUCAGGGACACAUUUGCUUCUCCCCUUGAAGAACCAGUUACAAAGCGUGAUGUCCUCUCUGGGGUCCCAUCAGAACAAAGAAACAGGAAUACCUGAGGCUUGGUGAUUUAUAAAGAAAAGUUUAUUUGGCUCACUAUUCUGCAGGCUGUACAAGAAGCAUGAUGCCAGCAUCUGCUUCUGGUGACAACCUCAAGAAGUUUACAAUUGGCCGCGUGCGGUGGCUCAUGCCUGUAAUGCCAGCACUUCGGGAGGCGGAGACAGAUGGAUCAUUUGAGGUCAGGAGUUCGAGACCAGGCUGGCCAACAUGGUGAAACCCCAUCUCUACUAAAAAUACAAAAAUUAGCUGGGCAUGGUGGCAUGUGUCUGGAAUCCCUGCUACUCAGGAGGCUGAGGCAAGAGGAUCACUUGGAACUUGGGAGGCAGAGGUUGCUGUGAGCUGAGAUCACACCACUGUACUCCAGCCUGGGCAACAGAGUGAUACUCUAUCUCAAAAAAAAAAGAAAGAAAGAAAGAAAAGAAAAAGAAGCUUACAAUCAUGGUGGAAGGCGAAGAGGAGGAGCAGGCAUAUCACAUGGCCAAAAAGGGAGCAAGAGAAAGGUGAGAAAGACACUAGACUCUUUUUAAAACCAGCUCUCACAUGAGCUAAUGGAAUAAGAACUCACUCAUUACCACAAGGACAGAACCCAGCCAUUCAUGAGGGACCUGCCACCAUGACCCAAAAACCUCCUACUUGACCCAACCUCCAACACUGGGGAUAACAUUUCAACAUGAGAUUUGAAGAGGACAAAUACUCAAACUAUAUCACUUGUUGUCCAUUUUUAAUCUUUCUCUAACAUACCCUAACUUCUUCUUGAAAAUGCUUAAUUUUCUCUGUUUUGAGAUGUAAAUUUGCUAUCCUGUUUUUCUUAAAACUUGGUAAGAUCUUCAGCCAUGAAGGACAGACAAACUGUAACCUUUCCAUUUACAAAGCUGCAUUUGAAUUCAACUGUCCUUUUAAACUAAGGAGUUUUACUGGUCUCGUGGCUAAAAUUUUAAAG